GUUGUCAUGGCUAUUUUUUAACCCAAAUUUGAGGAUGUAGGUCGAGCUGAACUAAAGGCAUUUACAUCAAAUUAUAGGAAUUUGUUGGUCAAGCACCUGCUGUACAUAGAACAACAAUCCAUUACAGCUUUGAUUAUGCCGAGCAGGUCUUUUACCCAUACUAGGCACAGCAAGAAGGCCCUGCUUUGAAGUGUUCUGUAAAUCAUAUGGUUCACAGAUAUUUAUCUCAGUGAUAAGGGUUUAGCUGUUAUGUGGCCAAUGGUGUGGUACCUCAUUUUCAACAUCAUCCAUAUAGAGAAGACUUUGCAUACCUGCACAUUGACAACUGUGUUGGGCGGAAUAAAAACAAUGCAGUCAUUGGGGUCUGAUGUAUUCUGAAGGGAGAAAAACAGCAUUUACUAAAAUGGAAGCAGGUGACAUAAAGUUCAGUCCUGUCAGAGAUUUGGUCUGUGGGAGACCAAAUGGAGGCAGCACACAUCUUUUGUGGAUUGAUGACCUUGGCAAACUGGUUAUAUUCUUUGACUGGUUGGAGUACACCAAGAGACCCCUGAAGUCCAUUCCAAACUUGAGGAAAUAUCAUCACUUCAGAACUUCAGCUGACAACCCAGUGAGUGAAUUCAUGAGAGAGCAUGCCAAGGACAGUGAGAUUGAAGUUAAAAUUGACAAGCCCACAACAAUGGCUUUUCCAUGGAGAGUACCCUGAACCAUCCAACUAAAAGGACUUGAUGCAAAAAGGCUCUGAUACCUUAAAUAAGUGAAAAGAACUUUUCAGUAUACUGAUAUGUGAUCUUUAUAAACUUAAAUCAAUUUUUGUUUGACAAUUAUUUUUCAAUAGAAACUUGUUUAUGUGAAAUAAGGCUACCAGUGAUUUUGAGUGAUAAACUGUGGUUUUAGCAAAUGAGUGAUGGAAGGGUGCUGCACCCAGUCUUUUGUUGGUAGAACUCUUCUGCCAUAAUGGAGACCACUUUAUGAUUAUUAAUUAUUAAUACAAACUUAAAAAAAUCUGGCAGUUGAAGCCUAUAAAUGCUUGAAUUGAAGACAUUUAUAAUACUGUUUGUCAAAAUUAGUUAAUUCACAGCCUGAUAAAAUGUACCUUAGCAACUUUUACCUAUGAAUAAGCAUCGAGAAUAUCAUUUGUCAUGUACUAUGUGGCCAAUUGCAUACUUCUUGAAACUACAUAAUGACUUGUACAUGCUAAGUAGUUAGUAUGUUAAGAAAUUGUUUUCAUUUUGUAAAUGUGCCCAUUUAUUAACUGAUCUUAUUAUAUAAUAGUGUAAAUUAUGCAGUAUUGUUAUGUUUAUUAAAUUAAGAGUAUAUUAACCACCAUUUCAUGUUUUAUGAGCUAUAAAUGACUAUACAAAAAUCACAUUUGAGGUUAAGUUGGUGUGAUACUGAUCAUGUUUGUGGCCUGUUGCCAUGGUAACCAGGAUAAAAAACAAACCCUUUAAGACCAUUCAAAGAAGAUAAAUAAUAGUUAAUUACAGUGGUAACAUACUUUAACCUCUACAUAUACAUUGUACAUUUAUUAUUUGCAAGUUCCAGCCUAAUGUCAAUUUAUUGUGAAAAAUUUCCAAUAAACUACAGCAAAUAGUUUUUAUUUAUUCUGACAUUUGUCAAAUACAUACACCAGGUACAGUAAGGUUUGAGGAUAUCAAUUAACAAAUCAAUUAUUACCGAAUGCUUCAAAUGACUUUUAUUGUAUAUUUAAAUGCGAAUUUAACCCCAAAACGCCUUUUUUCAAUAACGGUUGCCAUUGUAACCAAUUAAUUUUCAUUUAUUUUCUCAAUAAUAAUUGAGAAUGUUUUUGAAAAUAUGUUGUUGUUAUAAUGUGGGAAUUGUAGUAAAUGCAUAUUUAUUGCAUCUGUGAAUACAAAUGUUUCAAUAAAUUUUUGAACUUUA
This is a long non-coding RNA of Mya arenaria, 1899 nucleotides long. RefSeq lists it as uncharacterized. The transcript is spliced from 6 exons. The record is from RefSeq and is a predicted model, not a curated record. Lineage: Eukaryota; Metazoa; Mollusca; Bivalvia; Myida; Myidae.